RNAcentral lists this ribosomal RNA (497 nucleotides) under uncultured bacterium. Its description in RNAcentral is "partial 16S ribosomal RNA". It matches the Rfam family "Bacterial small subunit ribosomal RNA", at positions 28 to 507 of the family's 1533-position model. The record is from RNAcentral.
GAUGAACGCUGGCGGCGUGCCUAAUACAUGCAAGUCGAGCGAACAGACGAGGAGCUUGCUCCUCUGACGUUAGCGGCGGACGGGUGAGUAACACGUGGAUAACCUACCUAUAAGACUGGGAUAACUUCGGGAAACCGGAGCUAAUACCGGAUAACAUGUUGAACCGCAUGGUUCAACAGUGAAAGACGGUCUUGCUGUCACUUAUAGAUGGAUCCGCGCCGCAUUAGCUAGUUGGUAAGGUAACGGCUUACCAAGGCAACGAUGCGUAGCCGCCCUGAGAGGGUGAUCGGCCACACUGGAACUGAGACACGGUCCAGACUCCUACGGGAGGCAGCAGUAGGGAAUCUUCCGCAAUGGGCGAAAGCCUGACGGAGCAACGCCGCGUGAGUGAAGAAGGUCUUCGGAUCGUAAAACUCUGUUAUUAGGGAAGAACAAAUGUGUAAGUAACUAUGCACGUCUUGACGGUACCUAAUCAGAAAGCCACGGCUAACUACGUG